GAUCAUUACAGAGUUACCUAACUCCAAACCCAUGUGAACUUACCUAUGUUGCCUCGGCGGGGAAGCCUACCCGGUACCUACCCUGUAGCUACCCGGGAGCGAGCUACCCUGUAGCCCGCUGCAGGCCUACCCGCCGGUGGACACUUAAACUCUUGUUUUUUCUAGUGAUUAUCUGAGUGUUUAUACUUAAUAAGUUAAAACUUUCAACAACGGAUCUCUUGGUUCUGGCAUCGAUGAAGAACGCAGCGAAAUGCGAUAAGUAAUGUGAAUUGCAGAAUUCAGUGAAUCAUCGAAUCUUUGAACGCACAUUGCGCCCAUUAGUAUUCUAGUGGGCAUGCCUGUUCGAGCGUCAUUUCGACCUUCAAGCCCUAGCUGCUUGGUGUUGGGAGCCUAUCUCCGGAUAGCUCCUGAAAAGCAUUGGCGGAGUCGCGGUGACCCCAAGCGUAGUAAUUCUUCUCGCUUUAGGUGUGUCACGGCUGACGUCUUGCCGUUAAACCCCCAAUUU
RNAcentral lists this ribosomal RNA (505 nucleotides) under Eutypa lata. Its description in RNAcentral is "eukaryotic LSU rRNA". The stretch from base 199 to 352 matches the Rfam family "5.8S ribosomal RNA". The record is from RNAcentral. Lineage: Eukaryota; Fungi; Ascomycota; Sordariomycetes; Xylariales; Diatrypaceae.